CCCCCUCAUGCUCAAGAUUGGAAGUCUGAUGAUCCGGUGCUGGAGUAGUGCUUCUCCCACCUUGAUUCAUGUUGAUUCUGAGACCCUCUAGGAUAAUCCUCAAGGUUUCAGCUCUAUCAGAAGUGAGAUCUUUCAAAUCAUCUUGAAUCUGUUCCUCAUAGUAUCCUUUUUCUUCAACAAACUUCACUUCUCUAGAUACUAACACUCUCCUUGUGUUAGGAUCAUAGCAUUUGUAUCCUUU
Molecule: long non-coding RNA, 241 nt
Filed under: Brassica rapa (field mustard)
Lineage: Eukaryota; Viridiplantae; Streptophyta; Magnoliopsida; Brassicales; Brassicaceae
Description: long non-coding RNA (BRAP_LNC008229)
Source: RNAcentral